AGUGAACGCUGGCGGUAGGCCUAACACAUGCAAGUCGAACGGCAGCACAGUAAGAGCUUGCUCUUACGGGUGGCGAGUGGCGGACGGGUGAGGAAUACAUCGGAAUCUACUUUUUCGUGGGGGAUAACGUAGGGAAACUUACGCUAAUACCGCAUACGACCUACGGGUGAAAGCAUGGGAUCUUCGGACCUUGCGCGAUUGAAUGAGCCGAUGUCGGAUUAGCUAGUUGGCGGGGUAAAGGCCCACCAAGGCGACGAUCCGUAGCUGGUCUGAGAGGAUGAUCAGCCACACUAGAACUGAGACACGGUCCAGACUCCUACGGGAGGCAGCAGUGGGGAAUAUUGGACAAUGGGCGCAAGCCUGAUCCAGCCAUGCCGCGUGGGUGAAGAAGGCCUUCGGGUUGUAAAGCCCUUCUGUUGGGGAAGAAAAGCAGUAGGUUAAUACCUCGCUGUUCUGACGUUACCAAAAGAAUAAGCACCGGCUAACUUCGUG
Molecule: ribosomal RNA, 492 nt
Filed under: uncultured bacterium
Lineage: Bacteria
Description: partial 16S ribosomal RNA
Rfam family: Bacterial small subunit ribosomal RNA
Source: RNAcentral